Molecule: long non-coding RNA, 5315 nt
Organism: Lytechinus variegatus (green sea urchin)
Lineage: Eukaryota; Metazoa; Echinodermata; Echinoidea; Temnopleuroida; Toxopneustidae
Exons: 6
Source: RefSeq, a predicted model, not a curated record
UGAUAUAAGGUUGAUCAAGUAUACUUACAUGUAACAUCCUACCCAAGUUUCAGGUCACGUGACUAAGGUCAAGGUCAUGUAGGUACAAUGAACUUAGACGCAUGCAGAGGAGUGGCAGUCAUGCUAGAUCAAAGCGAUGAUCCCACCAAUAUUUAUCUACAUGCCUUUCGAAUGAUUCUUUUGUUGGCAAGACCACUCUACUUUCAGGGAGGCUAUUCCAAUCAUCUAUCACUCUUCUGCUUUAAUACAGACUAGCUGCGAACGUCCAGUCUACAGUACUCUUUCUCAAGCUUCAGAUAGUGUCCCUGUGUUGAUCUACCUACUGAUUUUGUGAAGAAGUGAUCUAGAGGGAGAUUGAUAAGUCCAUACAUUAACUGGUGCACAAAGAUCAUGUCUCCUCUUCUCCUGUACAGCAGGGAGCACAAGAUCAAUUCUUUAAGUCUGUCUUUAUAUGGGACGUUCUUCAGCUCUCUAACCAGCUUGGUUGCCAUUCUUUGGACCCUUUCAAUCCUUGCAUCUUUGUAUCUGCUAUGCCAAAAGAGACUACCAUAUUCAAGGUGGGGUCUUAUUAAGGUAUUGAAGAGACAAAUUUGCUGAAUAAAUCAUAAUGCUUUUAGAGUUCAUAUAUGUAGGGAACAAUUCUUACUCUGCAGUGUAUGUGCUUAAAAAAUGUCUGCCUCUCUAUCAAGAUCUGGCUCUCUGGUAGGAUAGACCCCUUGCCCAAUGUCCACUUUAUAGUAAUGCACAUGUUAGGGUCUUGUGUACAUACCUGUGCAGACCCACAAGUCCAUGAUUUAGAAAACACAUCAGAUAAGCUGACAUUCCCAAGAGAACUGCUGUACAACAACCCUCUGAGUAUAACUGUACUUUGAACUGAGGUCAUCAUAUUCUUGCAUGCCUGGACACAUUGCACACAGCGAGACUUGGACUAGAGAUACAAAUGUCGUCCAUCCGUCACAAACCUAAUGACACAUUAGGUUUGUGACUUUAAGUCGCUUUUAACUUUAAGUCGCGUCACAACUUUGUGACUUUAAGUCGCUUCACAACUUUAAGUCGCUUUUCAACCAAACUUGGAUGGUAGAUGGACUUGGGGGACCUGCAUUUUAUGCUGGAGUCGGAGGUCACAUGGUGCCUAUGCACAUCAAGGCAGAUCAGUCAGCAGUCCAUUGGGCGUCGUUACUUCAGCAGCAGUGGAAGCAGUAGAGAUAGAGACUGUGAAAGAGGCCGUGAACGAGAGAGGGAUUGUGCCCAGCGAGAAAGAGAACGAGAAAGGGAACGUGAACAUCGAGAGAGGGAACGCGAACGUGAAAGGGUGAAGGAAAGGGAGAAGUCUCCAGUGUGCGAUCCAGGUCUCCAUGUCAUUCCAAGUCGUCAAGAAGAUCACCAAGGCAUACCAAGAGGGUAGUACAGCUAUACUGUGUUCAGAUACCACUCUUUGCUCUGGAUAUGAUGAAUAUAGCAAGGAGGAUGAUAAAGAUGGAGAAGAGGAAGAGAACAAAACAAAGAGCAAUGAAGAUGAGAAUGAUGGUGAUCCUUGACAGUAUGUCAUCCAACAAAAAAGGAUCAAAGACUAUGGCUCCUGAUGGUGUUACCAUGGUAAAGUAUGGUGGAACAGUAACUGACAUUGCUAACCUGUUGAAACAAGUACAGAAGGCUGAUCAGGAGAGAUCUAUGGCAGAGAAGAAGAUUGAAUCUUUGGAGAAAAAGAUAGACACCCUGAAAAGUAAGGCCGCUCCAGUGAAGCCACCAUUACCAAUGUCAUCGGUGAGCUGCUAGACGUCCAGAAGAAACUCUCUACUUCUUAGCGUGCACUCAUUGGCUCAUCCACCUGCUCCAAGAAGCUUAUUGAUGUCAUUGGAACUGCUCAGAAAAACCUAGAUGAAGUCAUACUCAAAUUAACGAGGUCCUGGAGGAAGCCCUGCUUCCCCCUACUCAAACAGACUACUGGGAAAAAUUUCCCCAUUUUGUAUGGUGUAGAGUCAAUAUAUCCUUUCUUUUUGCCUUUUCAUAUUUGAUCUGUUUUGACCUUUCAAUGACACUGCAUAUUUUUUUACAUGUAGGGACCCUUCUCAGUUUAUGGUUAUUGUAAAUCAUAUAUUUAAUAGAGCAUUGUGUUUUAUAUUGUCUCUAACACCGAGUAAUACUUCAAGCCAUUUUACAUCAAGGAAUUUUUAAAAUGUAAUUUGUUUCCUAUUUCAGUCCAAAUCUUGAAGACACUUCAUCACAUUUAAAAAAUACAUGAUAGUAUGUUUCUUUUUCUAUAGAAAGAGCAUGUAUUGGAAUGUAUCAUACCACUCUGGAAAAGUUUGUCAUUACAAAAUAUGAUGCUAUGUCAAAGUUUAUAUUGAAAUUCUUUAGCUUCCAGUCUAAUGUGGAGACUCAAGGGAUAGUAAAACAAGUUGCAACUGCAGACUUAUUCAAGUUUAAAGCUGAUACAUCUGGAUGUUUAAAAGCAAAUGCAUCUUGUAUUGUAUUAAUAAAUAUAAUAUAGAUCAUCAGAGGUAAAGGAAAGCACAUUCUUGUUAAUAUCAAAAUAUAUGUUCGAAAAAUCAAUAUUAUCGUGCCAUGUGUCACCACUCCCUGAGGAUUUUUCUCCAAUUCUUCCAUUCAGUUGGCAUAUUGUUAUACAACUCAUUAAGAGAAAAUAAAUCAUUUACACCUUAGCCUUUUCGAAAGAAAACAUCUCCUGUUCUCAUUUUGCCAUCUGUGUCUUUAAUGUAUUUCACUUGAGAAAUGUUAACCUUAAAUAAUUUUUUAUUAAAAGGAAAGGUCCUAUCUGAUAAAGGUAUUGCUAAAAAUUAUUUGGUUUUCAAUGUGCAUUUCUCUGAUAAUAAAUUCCCUUUCUUUUAAGUAAUUCCAAAUAUCCAAAAAUUCCAAGUAGAGGUUAAGUAUAUUGAUAUUGAAGCUUUGGGAUUGUAAUUACAAAGAAAUACAAUUUGAUCUACACUGAAUAGCACCCUCUUUGGUGGCCCAUGACAAGUCAGGGUAUUUUUUCACUUGAUGAACAUUGAGACAGUAUCCAGGGGACUGUUUCUCAACACCGUCAUAAGUCUAACUUGACUAAAUCAGAGAUAGAGAUAGAUAGUUUUCAGACCCCUACUAACAUUUGGAUAAAUUCUAAUUUAUGCAUAGAAUUUGUCAAAUUGUAUGUUUUGGUAUCAAAGAUUUUAAAAGUUUAUGUUAAGAUAUAUUCUGAUGAUGUUUAGAGUCAUAAAAAACUAUGAUUAUUAUCAUUUAAAAAAAAGAAAACUGUUAUGGUUUACUUUCGUAAACUAUUAAAAUUGGAUAUCCUGGGGGUACCCAUCUCAAUGUCCACAUGUGACUUUUAGUAAUGAAAUGAAUUAUUCAUAAUUUGAUUUUCUCAGCAAUUAAGUGCUCCAGUCUUCAUGGUCUAAGUAUGCAUGAUAUAUGAUUUACCUGUGCGAUUAUUUUGAAAAGAUGUAUUUCCCAAUUCAUCACAAUAUCUGCUAUUUUGUCAUAAUUUUUCGUUUUGAAAAUUAUGCUAUUUUGUGACUAAGGCUGUGUUACGUCUGCUCUUUUUACCGAUAGUAUCGAUAUCAAGGUGUUCUAGUUAGGAAUCCUUUUGUGAAAUAGGUUUAAUAAGAUUGGAACAAACUCAGUGGCUGAUGGAUAAAGAUAUGACUAACUUGUCAAGGUGAGAAAGGGGCCCAGCUUUGUACGCAGCAGUACUAACCAUUAGUUGAAAUGCCAAAUAUACUUUCACAUUGAUUUCAGAUAAUUAUUGGUAUCACUUUUUAUUUCAUCCUGAAAAAAACUGUUUAAAAAUACUUCUUGUUUUAUCCCCAAAUCUGUAGUUUGCUUAUGUUUUGCCCGAUGAUGUAUGAAUAAGAUGGUGCUGUUGCUUGUGAAUCUAUACCAGUUCAAGGCAAACUUACUCUGUUUGGGGUUUCUUGUUUGUUUGGUUUUUCACUAAGUAAUGACUUUAUAUGAGAAUAGCUUUUCUUUUACAGGAAACAUUGCAAACUGAAAAUCAGGAUAAACACUGUCAGCUAUUACACAUUCACUGACAACAGAACGACCCAGGGAUUAUCUUAGUUACCACUUCCUAUAGCAAUACAAGUAACUCUGCCUAGGUCAGAUCUCUUGGGACCAAAUAAUAAUAAAUAUGUUCGACUUGGGCAAAAUUCAACUGAAAAAGAGUAUAUGACACAUGUUUUGAAUAAUCUAAGAAAUUGCUUCGCAAUUAUUCAACUUGUGGAAGAUCGACUUAGGCAGAGUUACCUGUAUAUGAUAGGGAUACUUUGCUCAUUAUUGUGACCCUGUUAAAUGAUAGAGACUCUCAUGACCUGUAAUAAUUACAUUUUCACUAUACAUUCGAUUGGAUUGCAUUUUUUGGCCCUUUGAAAUCGUGUGAUUAUUUGUUGGAAGUACCAAUUUUUCUGUAUGCAACUUUCAUUUAAACUUGGAAUUUGUUGAUUAUGGUAUGGCUUAACGUUCCAAUAUUUUAACAUUUUGAUUUUUAUGGAUGUUUUAUCAAAAAUGAGUUAAUAUAAAGUAGAUGCAGGGGGACAGUGAUUCAUUAAUAGUCAUAAUUUAUUGACCAGCUUUAUUAUUUGAAUUAUGAAUGAUAACAAAACAUAAAACACUGAAUCAUAGUGAAAUUGUAUGCUACUUUGGGGGAAUAAAUGAUAAUGAAUACAAGUCAGAUUUCUUCAUUAUGCACUUAAAUAGAGAUUACUAAAAGACACUUGUAAAAUUAGGGAUUUGUUUGAAUCUAUAAAUGACAGAUUUUUAUUGUUUUUACAGGAUCAGGGAUUUCAAAGUACAUACCUGCUCAAUUAUACCUGCUCAAUUAAUACAAACUUUCCCCUACUAUAUUGUUUGUAUAAAAUAAUAAAAUGUAAAUGAUACUUAAAAGGUUUCAAAAUUUGGAAGGGCAUGGAAUUCAGAUAUAUUAUAAUAGUUCUUACAUAUGCUCUAAAGAGCAGAAAUUGGUUUGUAAUUAUGAAAUGAAGUACAAUAAUUUGGUCAUCCUUUGUUCAGGCAGGGAUGAAAUGACAACAAAAUAAAUUGUUUUGUUUCAGAGAGUAUGCAGGGGAUGAGUUCUUUAAUAGUUUGUUAAUUUUCUCUUUGAAAAAUAUGAUAUGAUUACACACUGCAAAUAUUGUGCAAGUUUAGAAUAAGGGUGGACCAGAGGAUGAUAUGCCCACAUUCUCUGAUAAGUAAUAGUAUUUUUGUGAAAUGCCAAAUCUACCCAUAGAUAGGAAAUUCAAAAUGGACAUCAUAGAUUGAUUUGAUGUAUAUUUUUUUUCUUGUGAGAUGAAACAUUUCUUUCUUUGAUGUGGAACUGGAAA